This 358-nucleotide ribosomal RNA is filed under the name unidentified archaeon. RNAcentral describes it as "bacterial SSU rRNA". It matches the Rfam family "Archaeal small subunit ribosomal RNA", at positions 90 to 449 of the family's 1478-position model. The record is from RNAcentral.
UCAGUAACACGUAGUCACAUGCCAGGAGACGUGGAUCAACUCGGGAAACUGAGGAUAAAACGCGAUAGGUCACUGCUUCUGGAAUGGGCAAUGACCCAAACUACAUGGCCCCUGGAUUGGACUGCGGCCGAUCAGGCUGUUGGUGAGGUAAUGGCCCACCAAACCUGUAACCGGUACGGGCUCUGAGAGGAGGAGCCCGGAGAUGGGCACUGAGACAAGGGCCCAGGCCCUAUGGGGCGCAGAAGGCGCGAAACACUCUGCAAUAGGCGAAAGCUUGACAGGGUUACUCUUGAGUGAUUUCCAGUUAAGGAGAUCUUUUGGCACCAUCUAAAAAUGGUGCAGAAUAAGGGGUGGGCAA